Brassica oleracea var. oleracea is the source of this 269-nucleotide long non-coding RNA. RefSeq lists it as uncharacterized. The transcript has 3 exons. The record is from RefSeq and is a predicted model, not a curated record. Lineage: Eukaryota; Viridiplantae; Streptophyta; Magnoliopsida; Brassicales; Brassicaceae.
GAGUAAAUAUUGAAGGAGAGGAUCAGCUGUGUUCACCAAUCAGUUUAGUAUAGCCGAUGGUCAAGGAGAGUGGUUGGAUCAGCUGGACAUGUCCUUGUGAUCGUUUCAAAUCUGAAGUGUACCGGAAGUGGAAUGUGAUUAGCUUGAGCUCGUGUCUAGUCUUCUUUCGCCAAUUUCAUGGAUUCAAAGGUAAACAAUAGGAGGGAGACUUUACAAUAGGACGGGAAGGAACAUCAUUAGCCAGCGGUAGUUUUAUUAUCCUUGCAAAG